Molecule: non-coding RNA, 619 nt
Organism: Cinara cedri
Lineage: Eukaryota; Metazoa; Arthropoda; Insecta; Hemiptera; Aphididae
Source: the annotation of a GenBank genome assembly
UAAUUUAAAAAAAAAAAAAAAAAAAAUCAUUGAUGAUUUUGUUGAUUUUCGUUUUGUGUAAAUUUUAAAUAUUUGUCAAACACACGUUAUCCGGAACAGUACUAAACCUCCCAUCGAUAUGUUAUAAAUAUUUAUAUACGUGUAUUCAUGUGCCGUUCAUCAUCGAUAUUAUUGUAAUUAUUGAAAUGUUUUUAGUGACGGAAAAGGAAAAAUAUUUAUAGAGAAUUUUAUCGCGUAUUUUUAAGUUUGAUUGGACAUUCAAUAUUAUUAUUAUGUAUAAUUAUUAUAAAAAAAAAAAAAAAAAAAUGUAAUUCGAUACGCGUUGAAAUAUAUGUUAUUACCUACCUAUAAUUAAUUAUUAUUACGAUUACGACGGGUAAACCGAAAAGUAUUUAUUUCUUAGUUAGACAACGGAGACGUUCAAGUGUUAAACAAGAUUAUACACCAUACGAUUAUUGUUUAAGUAUGAUAUUUGUUACGGUUUAAUACUCGACGUUUGUAUAUUGUGUUGUAAUAUUGAAAUAAAAACUGUGGUGCAUAAAAAUCACCGUUAUUUCGCGUCGUGUAUGAUAUUUUAUACGAACGCGAUGAAGAGAGGGGAAAAAUCGGUAACGCGACG